RNAcentral lists this small RNA (28 nucleotides) under Bombyx mori (domestic silkworm). RNAcentral describes it as "ovarian small RNA-37156". Lineage: Eukaryota; Metazoa; Arthropoda; Insecta; Lepidoptera; Bombycidae. The record is from RNAcentral.
UUCCCACAAUUGGCGCAAGAGAAUGGGC